GAUGAACGCUGGCGGCGUGCCUAAUACAUGCAAGUCGAGCGAACAGACGAGGAGCUUGCUCCUCUGACGUUAGCGGCGGACGGGUGAGUAACACGUGUAUAACCUACCUAUAAGACUGGGAUAACUUCGGGACACCGGAGCUAAUACCGGAUAAUAUAUUGAACCGCAUGGUUCAAUAGUGAAAGACGGUUUUGCUGUCACUUAUAGAUGGAUCCGCGCCGCAUUAGCUAGUUGGUAAGGUAACGGCUUACCAAGGCAACGAUGCGUAGCCGACCUGAGAGGGUGAUCGGCCACACUGGAACUGAGACACGGUCCAGACUCCUACGGGAGGCAGCAGUAGGGAAUCUUACGCAAUGGGCGAAAGCCUGACGGAGCAACGCCGCGUGAGUGAUGAAGGUCUUCGGAUCGUAAAACUCUGUUAUUAGGGAAAAACAAAUGUGUAAGUAACUAUGCACGUCUUGACGGUACCUAAUCAGAAAGCCACGGCUAACUACGUG
Molecule: ribosomal RNA, 497 nt
Filed under: uncultured bacterium
Lineage: Bacteria
Description: partial 16S ribosomal RNA
Rfam family: Bacterial small subunit ribosomal RNA
Source: RNAcentral